Molecule: long non-coding RNA, 2023 nt
Filed under: Pan troglodytes (chimpanzee)
Lineage: Eukaryota; Metazoa; Chordata; Mammalia; Primates; Hominidae
Description: long non-coding RNA NONPTRT005254
Source: RNAcentral
UACUUGCAUUUUUUUCUAUCAAUUGACGCUUACAAUUAUUUUUGCAAGUUGGAAAAAAAUGCAGUAUUAAUUUCAUUUGCAACAAAUUUAAUAGAUUAAUUAGGAGAGAAUAGAUAUCUUUAAAAUUGAGUCUUCUGUCCAACUGCAAGUUAUAGCUGAGGUGGUUACCAGUUUAAGAAGUGAGAACUUCUUCACUGACUGAAAUUUGCAUAUCAAUCCAAAUCAUUGUGCUUGUUUACUAUUUUUGUAGACGUCAUUCUUCAAAAGUGCUGCAUCUUUCAUAGUCAAGGAGGACAAAGACAUCUUUCCUGCAGGUGGUGACCAUGUGGAUAAUAGGAUCAUAGACAAAUGGUGGUUCCAUCUACAGCAUCACCAAAAUGCUGUUGUUACUGCUUCUUUCUGGGAUCUUCUUGCAUCUUUGCUUCUAAAGGGGCACACCUUUUAUAGAAGUAUGUCCAGGAAUAGAAGUGACCUGCUUUUUCGCAACUAAUCUACUCUGCUGUUGUGUUACGAAAGCAGCCAUAGGUAAUUUAUAAUUGAAUGAGUGCGCUGUGCCUUUCUUCCAAUAAAACUUUACAAAAGCAUCCUGUGGGCUGGAGUUUACCCUUUGGGAAACCAGAGCAUUGGCUAAACUGGAACCUGAAAAAAUAAUCACAUCAACUCAGCCACAUGGUAAUAAUAUUUAGAGUAUUAUUUCAACAUUUUCAUUUUCAUAAAAAUUUUUUUAGCUCUUUUGCCAAAUUCCAUUUGUGAGUGAUACAAAUGACUACCAUGUGCCAUUAACAUCACCUAAACAGUGCAAAACAAGCAUAGUAGAAGUAAUUGGAAUGAUAUAAACCCCUUGCUGUAAUAGUUAUAGUUGAUAAAUUAUGUUUCAAAAUUGAACCUAUUUCUUCCAAAUUUCAUCUAUAAAGUUCCAAGGAAUUCCAAAAUCUUGCCUGCCUUCUUUUCCCAGUUAGCAGUAUUGUCUGUGAGCAGCCAUGGUGGUAUCCAUCCUCCUCGGACAAUGAAUUUAGCCUAUUUUGACUUCAUUUGAGCAGUUGUAAUUGUUUCACCACAUCAGAGUAAGAUUACUACAUACCAGAGCUAUUCUUUAACUCAGCUUGUAAAAACAUGAUAGCAUCAACAAUACACAUAGCAAAUGAAUGCCAUCUUUAAUCCAAUUAAAUGGUUUUUACAAAUUUGCUCUUGUUUGUUGAUGCUAUCUGCAUUGCAGUAAUUAAAGGUGAGGUAAAAAGAAUGAAUAAACUGCCAAGUUAAAAUUAAAUUUGGACAAUUUCUCUUUUGCAGUAAUGUAUGUAUAUUUACUCAAAACAUAUGCCAAAUUUAGUGUUGAAAGGCUCAUUCAAAUCAAUUGGGAAAGCACGUAAAUGAACAAUUCAUAAAAGAAAAGCAUUGCAAAUGGCCAAGAGCAUAGAAAAUGUGCUCAAUCUUACCAGUCAUUAUAAGGAAAUAAUGAAAUUUGUGUAUAUAUGAAAUACUUAAAAUAUAUAUAAAAUAAAACAAUUAUUUGCCUUUUUUCACCUAUCAGAUUAACAGAUUAUAUGUGUUAACAAGGUGGGGAGAAUUUGCAACUCCUGAUAUGUUAAAAUCUUUCAGGAAGGUAGUAGAAAAUAUAUGUAAGAUGGAAAUUAGCACUUUUGACCAACAAUUUUAGUUUUAGAUAUUUACCUAUAAGGAUAUAAUAGGAGGUGUUCAAAGAUGCAUGUAACUCAAUGUAGUAUUAAUUAUAAUUGUAAAAUAGUAAAUAACAUUUUUGUCAAAUCAUAAUGUUAGGAAAAUUAGUGAUGGCACAUUUAACCAAUUGAAUUAUAUUCAGUUAUGAAUACCGUGAUGCAUGUUCAAAUUAAUUGAUACAAAAAUCCAACAACUUUAGCAGUUUGUUUACCAGUUAUUGAGUACCAACUGUGUUCAACAUUGUUAUUUCACUCAUAUGAAAUGAUAAAUGUAUGUGCUUGUUAUGAUACGGUCAAUAAAACCACUUUUAUAGGAAGAAUACUCACAAAAUACAGCGAGUUCUGGU